RNAcentral lists this ribosomal RNA (522 nucleotides) under uncultured bacterium. RNAcentral's name for it is "bacterial SSU rRNA". It matches the Rfam family "Bacterial small subunit ribosomal RNA", at positions 777 to 1297 of the family's 1533-position model. The record is from RNAcentral.
AAUAGAUACCCGGGUAGUCCACGCCGUAAACGUUGGGCGCUAGAUGUGGGGACCAUUCCACGGUUUCCGCGUCGUAGCUAACGCAUUAAGCGCCCCGCCUGGGGAGUACGGCCGCAAGGCUAAAACUCAAAGGAAUUGACGGGGGCCCGCACAAGCGGCGGAGCAUGCGGAUUAAUUCGAUGCAACGCGAAGAACCUUACCAAGGCUUGACAUAUGCGAGAACGCUCUAGAAAUAGAGAACUCUUUGGACACUCGUAUACAGGUGGUGCAUGGUUGUCGUCAGCUCGUGUCGUGAGAUGUUGGGUUAAGUCCCGCAACGAGCGCAACCCUCGUCGCAUGUUGCCAGCACGUAAUGGCGGGAACUCAUGUGAGACUGCCGGGGUCAACUCGGAGGAAGGUGGGGAUGACGUCAAAUCAUCAUGCCCCUUAUGUCUUGGGCUUCACGCAUGCUACAAUGGCCGGUACAAAGGGCUGCGAAACCGCAAGGUGGAGCGAAUCCCAAAAAGCCGGUCUCAGUUCGGA